This 1028-nucleotide ribosomal RNA is filed under the name uncultured bacterium. RNAcentral's name for it is "bacterial SSU rRNA". It matches the Rfam family "Bacterial small subunit ribosomal RNA", at positions 25 to 1099 of the family's 1533-position model. The record is from RNAcentral.
UCGUGCUCGUGCUCGUGCUCAGGCCUAAUACAUGCAAGUCGAACGGAUCCUUCGGGAUUAGUGGCGGACGGGUGAGUAACACGUGGGAACGUGCCCUUUGGUUCGGAACAACUCAGGGAAACUUGAGCUAAUACCGGAUGUGCCCUUCGGGGGAAAGAUUUAUCGCCAUUGGAGCGGCCCGCGUCUGAUUAGCUAGUUGGUGGGGUAAAGGCCCACCAAGGCGACGAUCAGUAGCUGGUCUGAGAGGAUGAUCAGCCACAUUGGGACUGAGACACGGCCCAAACUCCUACGGGAGGCAGCAGUGGGGAAUCUUGCGCAAUGGGCGAAAGCUGACGCAGCCAUGCCGCGUGAAUGAUGAAGGUCUUAGGAUUGUAAAAUUCUUUCACCGGGGACGAUAAUGACGGUACCCGGAGGAGAAGCCCCGGCUAACUUCGUGCCAGCAGCCGCGGUAAUACGAAGGGGGCUAGCGUUGCUCGGAAUUACUGGGCGUAAAGGGAGCGUAGGCGGACUGUUUAGUCAGAGGUGAAAGCCCAGGGCUCAACCUUGGAAUUGCCUUUGAUACUGGCAGUCUUGAGUACGGAAGAGGUAUGUGGAACUCCGAGUGUAGAGGUGAAAUUCGUAGAUAUUCGGAAGAACACCAGUGGCGAAGGCGACAUACUGGUCCGUUACUGACGCUGAGGCUCGAAAGCGUGGGGAGCAAACAGGAUUAGAUACCCUGGUAGUCCACGCCGUAAACGAUGAGUGCUAGUUGUCGGCAUGCAUGCAUGUCGGUGACGCAGCUAGCGCAUUAAGCACUCCGCCUGGGGAGUACGGUCGCAAGAUUAAAAACUCAAAGGAAUUGACGGGGGCCCGCACAAGCGGUGGAGCAUGUGGUUUAAUUCGAAGCAACGCGCCAGAACCUUACCACCUUUUGACAUGCCCGGACCGCCUCAGAGAUGAGGCUUUCCCUUCGGGGACUGGGACACAGGUGCUGCAUGGCUGUCGUCAGCUCGUGUCGUGAGAUGUUGGGUUAAGUCCGCAACGAGCGC